Molecule: ribosomal RNA, 449 nt
Filed under: uncultured bacterium
Lineage: Bacteria
Description: partial 16S ribosomal RNA
Rfam family: Bacterial small subunit ribosomal RNA
Source: RNAcentral
AACGAACGCUGGCGGCAGGCUUAACACAUGCAAGUCGAACGCAUCCUUCGGGGUGAGUGGCAGACGGGUGAGUAACGCGUGGGAACGUGCCCUUCAGUUCGGGAUAACCCAGGGAAACUUGGGCUAAUACCGGAUACGUGCGAGAGCAGAAAGAUUUAUCGCUGAAGGAUCGGCCCGCGUCUGAUUAGCUGGUUGGUGGGGUAAUGGCCCACCAAGGCGACGAUCAGUAGCUGGUCUGAGGGGAUGAUCAGCCACAUUGGGACUGAGACACGGCCCGAACUCCUACGGGAGGCAGCAGGGGGGAAUAUUGGACAAUGGGCGCAAGCCUUAUCCAGCCAUGCCGCGUGAGUGAUGAAGGCCUUAGGGUUGUAAAGCUCUUUCGUCCGGGACGAUAAUGACGGUACCGGAAGAAGAAGCCCCGGCUAACUUCGUGCCAGCCGCCGCCGUAA